CUCUGACACAGGUGCUGCAUGGCUGUCGUCAGCUCGUGUCGUGAGAUGUUGGGUUAAGUCCCGUAACGAGCGCAACCCUUGUCCUUAGUUACCAGCACGUUAUGGUGGGCACUCUAAGGAGACUGCCGGUGACAAACCGGAGGAAGGUGGGGGAUGACGUCAAGUCAUCAUGGCCCUUACGGCCUGGGCUACACACGUGCUACAAUGGUCGGUACAAAGGGUUGCCAAGCCGCGAGGUGGAGCUAAUCCCAUAAAACCGAUCGUGGUCCGGAUCGCAGUCUGCAACUCGACUGCGUGAAGUCGGAAUCGCUAGUAAUCGUGAAUCAGAAUGUCACGGUGAAUACGUUCCCGGGCCUU
This 357-nucleotide ribosomal RNA is filed under the name uncultured Pseudomonas sp. RNAcentral describes it as "bacterial SSU rRNA". It matches the Rfam family "Bacterial small subunit ribosomal RNA", at positions 1027 to 1382 of the family's 1533-position model. Lineage: Bacteria; Pseudomonadati; Pseudomonadota; Gammaproteobacteria; Pseudomonadales; Pseudomonadaceae. The record is from RNAcentral.